UGAUUCUGACAUAGGUGGUCUGCAAAUGAUCAUUCCACCCCCUCUACCACACCAUCAUCUUGAUUCUGAUGUUGACAACCCUCAAAUGGUUAUUCCCCCUCCUCCACUUCAUCACAUUCGCCUUUAAAAUCGAACAUCGUUGAUAAUCCCCCAAUGGUCAUCCCACCGCCUCCCCUCUAUUAUGUUCCAUCCACAAAGUAAUGUUUAGUGAUAUUAUAACGAUAAUCCCCUACCUCCUCUAUAAAGCAACUUUUAUUGCAUCCAAUUCGAUCACAACUUUAGAUGUCUGAUUCAUUUCUUGUCACUUCCCUUGAAGUAUUGAGCAUAAUAAGCUAAUAAUAAUAAUAAUACUUACGAUUAUAAAUAUUAUAUGUCCAUGCAUAUAUAUAGUGUAUUUAGAAACAAGCUUUCACUCCCCGUUCUAAAACUUCCCUCUUUAAAAAGAUGCUGGUGUCAGCCUACUCCUUAAAACAUGCUUUGAAAACGUAAGAUUUAUAAAACACCCUUUUCAAGAGUAAAGUAUAAUAAUUUGACAGCACCUCCCAUAAAAUAUGAGGGAACAACACCUGAAAAUGUAGUCAUUUCUACUUCUAUAAAAUUUUAAACGGAAUUCAGAUACUACAUACAACUAGUGUGUCUCACCACACACAUUCAGAUCGAUUCAAAACUUCAAGUAGAAUAUAUAAGGUGUAAACUACGUAUUACAUACAUAAGUAUUCAAACAAAUUAGGGAUCUUCCAAAACACAAGUCCAUAGUGUCUCUCUAGAUGAGACUAACCACCCCGUGAUGAAUUACAAAAGUUUAAACUAUACAAAAAAAAAAAAAAAAAUUGAAGAUCUACAAGAACAACUGAGCUGAAACAAAGCUUGGUCCUGGGUUGCUACCUGGAAAGGGAGAGAAUAUGCUUAAUAAGAUGUGUAAAUACGCAUCGAUAAAUAAUGUAUUAAAUAAAACAUUAUAAUCACAUAUUUCCCAAUCAACCAGCCAACCUGUAGCCAAUCCGAUCAUGGCAAGACGUGGCAAGACGUCUAAACAUAUGGCCAAGAGUAGCACGCACAUGAUCAAGGAAUCAUGCGGUCACAACUAGGUCACACAUAUUUAGUACCCGCCACAAUAGUAACAUCCAUCUAAUUCAACCAUGAUAGCAUACUAAACACACGACCCAGAAUAGCUCACAUGUGAUCCAUAACCACAAGGAAACACGCACCCAAACGGAGCCCACACAUUAUUAGCUUACCACAAUAACAACAUGAACCCGCUCCUUUGUGUAAAAAUGGCACCCACCAUGGGUUAUAAUAGGCCCGAAGCCAUAUCUCAAUUCUCCCUCCAUAUCCUAACCUAAGCUCAGGUUCUCGGAUCUUCGGUCACGACCUCUUUUAGCCUCAGAACCUCCUGACAACCGUAGUUGACGCUACGAAAAUACAUUUAUGUUACCUACGAGUAAAAUCACCUUAGUACAUUGGUUUUGUGGUUCGAAAACCAACCUUUACAUUCCAUGUAACACUCCAAAAUUUAAGGUAUUUUUUUAAAAAAAAUAAUAAUCAAAUGGCCUUAUUAUUGAAAAUUCUUUCUUAUUAAAUUGUCGGGUGUUAUUUUAUUACUUUAGUUUGAAGAAUCUUUUAUUUGGAAUAACAGAAAAGAAACCAUGAAGAAGAAAAAAAAAAGGAUUUGGAAAGAAAAAUAAUAAUAAUAGUAUAUAUUAUUAUUAUUAUUUAAAAAAUAUAUUUUUUUUCUCUUCUUCUUUCUCACGCACGUGUGACCCCCUCCCCCAGCUCUUCUUCUUCUCUUCUUCUCUACGUGCCCUAGUCGCCGCCCACCGUCUCCUCAUCGGUGUUGUUCGAGUUCGCGUGCCACCUGUUGUCGUUGCCCAUUAAUCGAGUCGAGGUGUUCGCCGUGGGUCUGCAUCGUUUAACAAUCUGUGAAGCCAUCAUCGUGCGCGUCUUUCUACAGCCAACGACUACUCAGACAAAACUCAUCCCGAGCCGUCUUCGUUCCGUCGGAGCUGAAGCCGGAGUGCCGUUCGUCCGCGCCUUCGUCCGGCUACGUCUGCGCGGGCUUCCGUUCGUGAAGCCCCAACCUCUGCGGCUUCGUCCGGCUACGUCCGCGUCAAUCUCCGUUCGAAAGCCCAGCCGUCGCGUCAACUUGUCGAUCGGUCGUGAGGCAGCGCGCGUUUCCUCUUCGCAGCGUGUUUCCGCGAUUCAUAAACCAAGUACACUCUAGUCUGUUUGUACCAUUGUUUUUGUUUAGGGUCGAUUGCCGCUGCCCCUAUUUUACUGAGGUGUUGAAAGUAAAGUUGACUUCUUUGGAUUCACAACCAAAUUAUAGAAGUGUUGGAGUUCGAUUCUCCUUUAUCUUAUUAUAGAAGUGUUGGAGUUCGAUUCACCUUUAUCUUGGUAUUCUUCGUGGGACUUUGGUUCGGUUAAGGACCUUAGGUAACGUAUAAGUAAGGGACUUUCUACCGGACCCAUAUGUAGAUUUCAAUGAUUAAAACGAUAUGUAGAUUUCAAUGAUUAAAACGAUAUGUAGAUUUCAAUGAUUAAAACGAUUUGACUGUUAUGCAUGGACUUGAAUGACUUAAAGGAUAUGACAGCUAAGUGUAGGUUGAAAUGGUUAUAGAGACUUAAUUGCUUCGAGUAAUUUUAAGUGUGUUGAUGUUGAAAUGGUUAUAGAGACUUAAUUGCUUUGAGUAAUUUUAAGUGUGUUUCGAUUGACUAAAUUAAAAUGUUUGUUGACUGAACUAAGGAUGGUUGACUGGCAUGUUAAAAAAAUGGAUGAUGUACGUUUGACUGGAUUAACUGAACUGAGGUGAGUGACAAUUACGUAUGAGUAUAUCUAUUUGAUAAAUCGUUACGCUAAGGUUAGAUUGUGUAUUAGUAAGAGAUUUUCCACUAUCGGACUCACCUAUAAAGUAGAAUAUGUUGAUUGUAUGUUAUCCCUAAACUGAGAAUGGAUGUCAGUUAUAAUACAUAUAAUUUGAAGUGGACUUGAGAUUGAAUGUAUGUUGGGUUUGACUAGAACUAUAUAUAUACACAUGAAUGUUGAAAUGACUGCAAAGUGUGGAUGUUGCCUAUAUAAUAUGCAGAUGUGAAGUUGUCUGUCAUGUGGACCGGGUGUAAAUUAUAUCAAGUACAGCUGUGUGCUAGUGAACUGAGAGGAUGCUAUGAUUACUUAAUUUGUUCGACUUAUGUGUUGAUAUGUUACUGACUGACUUGGGCUGAAAUGCAAUAAGUUGACUGUUAGGGUUUUAAGUGAAGGGAUUAUGUGCUGAGGUAAUCUGACUGUAAUAUGGUUGACUGAUAAAAUGUCUAGAAUGGACUGAGGGGAAUAAUUAUUAGUUUCCUAAUGGGUAGUUACCUUGCAGGUAUCCUACGGAUCACCACCUGAUAUAUGCAUCCUUUGAUAGCACUAGACUGAUAUGUGCAUCAUUCGGGAGCACUAGACUGAUAUGUGUUUAUGCAGAACACUAGACUGAUUUAUGCGCCUCUCGGGGCGUUAGACUGAUUACGUGUUUCCUACGAGAUCACAAAAAUGUGACUGUGCAGGGUACUCCAUAGGAAGUUAAUAGUUUAUUUUUCCCCUAACAGGAUCAGUAGUGGGUCUCUUACUGGGUAUGUUUAUACUCACCCUUUCAUGUUUAACUAUUUCAGGCAAAGGUAACAAAAGAGGUAGAACGACGAGGGACAAGAAGGAGACGUGAUUGCCAUAGGGGAAUGUCCUUCAAAUGCUUCCGCUUUAUUUUUUUAUUUUUUUUUAUUUUUUUUUCUUAGUAUAUGAGGUUGUUUAAAAUUUUUGUGAUGGAACUAAGUUUACGAAUGGUCGUUUUGUAAACAGUACUUUUAAAGUUUUGGUUAUUUGAAAUAGGGCCCGACUUAAGGUUGUUUUCUUUGAUCGUAUGAUUUUAAAAGAAUUUUACUAUAUUUUGUGACAAUCAAUGUCUAUUUGUCAAAACUAACGACUUCAACUUAAUUAAAAAAGUAAACAAUUUUCGUAUCAAAUGUUUGAAAGUAACCAUUCAUAGUAAAAAACAGAACUUGUUAUCCUAGGAUUAUACACUUGCCCCACUUUGGUUUGGUCGAAUACAAAGAUUAGACCUCUCAGUUACCUUCACAUAGCAAGACGUCACAAUAAUCUCCAAAACAUUUCGUUACUAGAAUUUAAGCUAUUUAUUUUAUAAAGGCUUAAAUUCUCAUUUUCAUCUUUAAUUUGUAUCAAACCCUACAUAUUUUAAUUUAGGCUAAAAUUAUACUUUUUGAACGCUUAGCUUCAACUUAAAAGUCUUAACACCAUAAACAACCAACAUAAAUCAAUCUUAGUAGUACUUAAUUCCAUACUUUUCCAUAAAGUUUCAACUUUAGAAGGUUAAAUUCAACUAGUCAUAAGUUCUUCAAUACUUAAUAGAAAAAAUUAUGUAUUUUAUAUCAAUCUCUUCAUUUUGGAGCCCUCUACAACUUAGUUGAAGAAAUGGAAAUGAGAUUCCUCAUAGAUUAACACACAAUUCGAUCGAAACACGGUAAAGCAAACUCACGUCUAUUGCUUACUUUCAAUUUUGAUCUUGAAAUUUAACCUACUUCCCGUCAUUUUUAGUUCUCGAAUUCUUCAUGAAAGUUCACUACAACAAAAAUGGUCUACUACGACAAUUAUUUUCUGUCACGAACAAAAUCUGUGAUAGUUAUUUACAGUCAUAGUAUCGCCUGUUGUGGAAAGUCCUUCCAUGACAGUUUUUUUCCAUGACAGUUUGAAAAAACUGUCACAAUAAGUUUUUUCAUAACAGAAAAUAAAUGUUAUUAAUUACUAUUUUAUGACAACAAAUAACAGUCAUAUUUUAUUUUAGACAACAAAUAACUAUUAUCACUUGUAUAUUAACGAAAGUUACAAAAAUGUCUCGUAUUCGUUUAUUGUGACAUUUUUUUAUCACUACUACAAAAAUAGACUCUCUUGACGUUUGUAGUUUUAAUUUCUUGACGUUUUUUUUGAAAAAAACGUCAAUAAAUGGGUGAUUUCAAAGAAAAAACGUCAAUAAUUUUUAUGAAAAGACGUAGAUUUGCCAAUCUUCAACUUUCUUGACGUUUUAUCAACUGUCAAGUAUUAUUUAUUUAUCCUUGACGUUUUAAAAACGUCAAGUAACUUGACAUUUUUAAAACGUCAAGAAUGUUAUAAUUUCCAAAUUUCUUGAUAUUUUUUAAACUUCAAGUGAAAUUAUAUUCUUGACGUUUAAAAAACGUCAAGUUUUAUUAAAUAAAAAAAAGGGAAAGGCACCGUUUUCAAGAUUGUCGUGCUUUGCCCUAAAAAUCCCAAUUUCCAAAUUUCCCAAUUUCGCAUCGUCUUCUUCUUCUUCGUAAUUUCUCAAUUUCGAAUCAUCUUCUUCUUCUUCACGGCUAAGUAUUCAAAAUCUUCAUCUUCUUCUUCACGCUUGAGCUUCCGAAAUCUUCUUCUCCACGUCGUCGUUCGCCACGCUGCCGUCUCUUCACGCUUCUCCGUCUUUGAAAAGUAACCAUCGAUCCUUCACUCCUUUCGUCUUCGCCGUUCUUGACAUUGGGGAAGCCCUAUCCCUCUCUCGUUUUUGAAGACAUUCAAAAUUUGUUUUCACACUCGUUCGAAAUCACCAUUCAAAAUCACCACCGGGGAUUAAUUUCAUCUCUUCACGCCUAUCUCUUCGCACUCGAUCUCUUCAUUCUGAAAAAUCCGUUGAUUGAAGUCCUCCAAACAAACACAUUUUGUUCUCUGCCACAAACUGAAUUAGGUGCGUUGUUCUAUUAAAUUGAUGCUUUAAAACUGAUUUGGAUGCUUAUGAAAUUGUCUUGAUUUUUUUAGUUUUAUGGUUUCUUCAAGAUUGGAAUCUAUGUUUAGUGUAUGGUUGAUUAGAAUGAAGCAUAUAUAUUCUAUUCUAAAGUUAAAAUGAAGCACUGAGUUUCUGAUCCGGAAGCUUCCGUUUAAACGUUUAGUUUGUGAAAUUGCUCAGAAUUUCAAAACCGACCUGAGGUUCUAGAGCAGUGUCGUCGCGACGCUUCAGGAGGCGGCCGAAGCCUAUUUGGUUGGUCUGUUUGAGGAUACGAAUCUUUGUGCUAUUCAUGCUAAGAGGAUAACCAUUAUGCCUAAGGACAUUCAAUUGGCAAGGAGGAUUAGAGGGGAAGGGGCUUAGAGGGAUUGGCUUGAUUAUUGUGUUUUUAGUUUUUUACUUUCUAAGUGCUUUUUGUGUCUCUAGAUUUAGUCUAUGGUGUAAAUCUACUGUGUUUUGAUAUCCUGUCCCAUGAGUAUAUCGUAGGUCACAUGUAUAUGAGACUCAACAAUAUGUUUGCUAAAUGAAUUAUCUCUUUACAUUUAUUAUCUCUGUCUAAAUUUGUUGCUUUCAAAUGGUAUGUUUAAAUAUUAUUUUGUUGUUGUUCUAGUGAAGUCGUAAGUUCAAUUAUGUUUUACCCUUUCUUGGGUUCCUAUAUUUUGAUAAUCUGAAUCAAGUUUUCGUUAACAACAAUCUCUGAUGUUUCACUACAUUGGUUUGUUGGUGUAUGAAGAUUGGGACUGUUAUUGAUUGAAGCCUAAGGUUGGAUUAUUCUUGGGCUGAAACAGUCACUUGUUAGAAGGUUUCAUUGAUAUCUCUAAUGAAAGUUUUAGUUUAGAAUAUAAAAUUUUGGGAUGCCUCAUGUAUAUACCUUGAUUUUCUUGACUUCCUCAAGACUUUGAGGUAUUGCAUCGACACAUUGUUUCACCAAUCAGGUGCUUUCCUUCUGUUUCACCUACACAUAAACACAAUUUUUGCAAUUUCUGACAUGCAUAAAAAAAAGAAAAGUAGAGAAACCUCAUAAAAUACAUAGAUAGAAAGAGAAACAAAAAGUUGCAUACUGCAUUUGCAAGUGGAUACUGUGUUAGGAAGAUAGUGUAAGAAAGCUUGACUUACUCCCAAUAUAAGCAACAUCACUAGAAUAGAAUAUACAUGCUUCAUUUUAACUUUAAAAUUUUAUAUGUUUUUUUUUUUAACUUUAGAAGUUAAUUAUCAUUUUAACUUUCUAUAUCUUCUUGAUUGUGAUAAGGCACAUGGAUACCUACAUAAUAUUAUAAUGGUUUGUUUUACAGUUCUCAAACUAAUAGUACCAUAAGUUUAUUAUGCCCAUUCAUCUCAAUUGAUUAGUUUUUAAUUUUGUUUAAAACUUGUAUACUAUGCUAAUUGUUUCUUGAUUUUGAUUGAUAGCCUUUGAUUCAUACAUCACAUGGACAAUUUAACUAACAAAGAACUUGGUGUUGAUGAGUUGAAUGCAAUAUUUGGAAUUGAGGAUGAUGAACAUAUUGGUACUGAAAAUGAAACCUCAAAGCAAACAUGAGACCAUGAGGACCAACUAUUAUGUUUGAUGUAACUCGCAUUAGAAGUUUGGGAGAGAAGAAGGUGGUUGUGUGAAACUUUACAUUGGUGGCCUAUAUGACGUAAGUCAAUUUCAUUUGUUUAGAUCUAAAUAUAUGUAUCUCAUUUACGAGUUUAUAAUAUUUUGUAGGUACUUGUAUUCAUCUGUUCUUGGUUCGAAGGAAAAUGUACUGUACGUCUUUGUAGAUUCGUCCCUCACCUCUGUCGAACACUCACAAGAAUCUCGAGUUCGAAACUUAUGUAGUAGAUUGAUGCUCUCAAAAAGUAACGAAAUAGUUUUUGCUCCUUUUAAUCCUGGGUAAGUCAAGUUAUUUUAUUAGUUGCAUUGCAAAAAACUAGUACUAAUAUUUUGUAGUAUUAGGGGUCAUUGGGCACUGCUGGCCAUAUGCGUAUGAUGGUACAAUAUUCUACCUUGACUCACUAAGGACAACAUCGAAGUCAACUACAAGAUAUAUAACCAACACAUAAGUUAAUCUUCUAUAUCAUUUAGUGAAGAUUCUUAUAUGCAUGUACAAUAUUUAAAAAUUCGUUCAGUCUUAUAUCUUGUCAAAACAGAGCAAUAGCGAUGUUUCAGUCACAAAAGGACAUUAAGAAAAGUAGAAAACAAACUUUAUGGCGAACAGUAAAGGCAAGUACAAACAUUUAAAGUCAUUAUAUUUUGUAGACUACUAGCAAUUAGGAUUACUUCGUUAUUCAAAUUUGUUGAUUUUAUAUAGUGUCCUCUACAAGUCGAGAGUACUGAGUGUGGAUACUACGUCAUGAGGUAUAGGAGAGAAAUUGUGACUAGGGGAAGCAUUGUCAUAUCUGAUGCGGUAUAUAUCAAACAAUUUCUUUUAUGAGUCAAUUGGUUUAUUUGUAUAGUGAGUCAAUUCAUUUAAUUUAUUUUGCAUGUUUAUAGAUUGAUACACGAAGAUCACACUCACAGGCAGAACUAGAUGAGGUAUGAGUUGAGUUAGCUGACUUUCUGGGUUCGUACAUAUGAUUGUGACCAAUAAUUUGUGAUUCUGAAGUAGGAAUUUUUUGUUGUGGCGCUGCUUAUGAUCUGAAACUUUAUGUAUAGAAACUUUAGGUGAUAAUUCUUUUGAAUUGUUCAUAUGGGGGAGGAGGGGGGUUGAUUGGUAUACUUUUUAUUAGAUUUAUUAUAGCUAUCCUCUUUUGUGACUCUCUAAGUUGAGUUGGAUUCAUGGCAAUCUAAUGAAAUAUUCAUAUCUAUGUAUAGUCAUGAAAUAUUCAUAUCCAUGUAAAGUCUUCGAAUUGAUUGUAUAUGAUAUAUGGAGAAUGGUUUUAUAUAUUCAUAUAUGUUCGAGUUUUGAAACUAUAUUCGAUGAAUACCGUUGAUCAUAUAUAUAUGUAUAUAUUUAUGAAACUGUUGCUGGACAACUGUACAAAACUAUUAGAUCAGCACAAUACACGAAAAAAAAUAUAAUUCAAUUACAAUUUUUUUUAAAAAAAUUGAAACAUGCUUGACGGUUUUAAAAUGUCAUAAACAAUUGCAUUCUUGACGGUUUUAAAAUGUCAUAAACAAGGUCGUUCUUGACAGGUUUAAAAUGUCAUAAACAAGUUAAUUCUUGACGGUUUUUAAAUGUCAUGAAAAUAUGUAUAUUUGACGUUUAUAAAACAUCAACGUUCUCCAUUCUUGACGUUUUAUAAACUGUCAAGAACUUUUGCUUUCUUGACACUGGCUUCAACGACGUUUUAAAACCGUCAAGAAUAGGGUCUCUUGACAGUUUUGAAAACGUCAAGAGAGCCUGUUUUUGUAGUAGUGUAUAUUUCAAGGAUAUGUCAAUCGUGAUAGUUUUUAUAAAAAUAAAUAUCAUCUUUUUUAUGUUGACGAUAGUUACAAUAAUGUAACGAAUUCGUAUAUUAAUUAGGACAUUUUUUCCUUGUCGAGGAUCGGCUUUUAUAAAAUUAAAUUGUCAUUAUUUUGAUAUUGGCGACAGUAACAAAAUGUCACAAAUUCGUAUAUUAUGACAUUUUUUCCUUGUCAAGAAAAGUUAGAUUAAGCUUAUAAACACUACUUUCACUAUGUGUAAUUCACCAACUUUUUUUAAUAAAGAAAACGUUUUCAAAAGGACAAAAACCAUGUCAAAAGUUAGAAAGCUAAAUAGUUAGUUUUUACAAACUUCAUUUGUUUUUUUUUUUUUUUUUAAUAUGGCUUAGGAAUCAAAUGUAUUUUCAAGGAAGGUGAAAAGUUCACCAAAAGUUGUGAGAAAAUAAGAACAAAAGGUUAUCAAACAAAUCUUAAAUAAGGUACGUAAUUUCAAUAUUAAAUAUCUCAAGUUUUCAUUGUCAAUUUCAAUGGUUGCACACCGUAAACUAAUUCACAAUAAUCCUUAUUUCACUUCACACAAACAACUUUAUUUGGAUACUACUCAAUAAAGCUGGUGUUAGAUUCAAUUUCCUAUUUCAAUGAAGUCAAGUUUCAAAUUUUUGAGCAAUAUAAAUACUGAGAUCAAAAUAAAAAACAAAAAAGAUUGUCUUUUAAUUCACAUAUGCCACUAAAUGUCCCCUUAUACAUACCAUUUUCAUCCUGAGUUGAAAUCUGUGUCUUGAAAUGCAACUGAAAAAACUGGAUUUCCACCACCAGUUUUACCGGUUCAUGAUUAGAUUUUAUGUAUGGUUAUAAUUCUUCGUUCUGAUGAAAUGGCUUCUGCUGGCAAUCCAACAUGACUCACUAAAGUAUUCAUUAUAUCUUGGACUCUCUCAGCCAUACCCACCCAUCCAUGUGUUCAAUAACCAAGGAAAGAUUUGACAUGUAUCUAUCAUCUUAUCUCAGAAAAUAUGCAAUUUAUGUUCAUUAUCUUAUAAGAUAUUUAACUAUUGAAGAGAAGAACUUACGUGAAGAUUUUCCAUGAGGCAUUGUUGUAAUCAUUCUCGAGUCUAAUGUUCAAGCCACCAUUACCAGUAUCAUGUCUUCAGCAAAGAUAUAGAACAGUAACUGACCAGAGUAGUCCUUGCACAAUAAUAGAGAAUAUAACUCCACAAUCAUAGUAAACAAAACACAAGAAUUAAAUAAUAAUGAUCCACAUUUUUUAAUUAACAUACUUGAAUGCUAUUUCAACUUAAUUGCUCAACAUAAAACAAAUCAAUAUGGACAAAAAAAAAAUUAACAAAAACAAGAAACGAACUCCUUUGAAAUAUGAGAAGGCAGCAAAGACAUGGAAACAGUCAAAACUUGGAUUUUAGUGCAACACGUUCAGUUCACCAUUUCCCAUUUUCUUCUUUACUAUGUUUGCUCGUUUCUUGGAAAUUUUGAUUUCUUCCUUUCAAACUCCACCAUUUCUUAAUCCUUAAAAUCGUUGUCAAACUGUUAUAGGUCACACUACCAAACUUUUUAGAGAUUAAUAAAUAUACAGUUCAGUUCAAAUUUGGGUUCUAGCAUUUUCUUUCACCAAAGACCCAACAUUGAAGUUAUAAAUCUGGGUUGAUAGUUCAAAUAGAUCUGAAAAUUGAAUCAUGAAAUGCUAGUGGGUAAAUACAAAACUCAGGGCAGGAAGUUUCUAAUAAUUUACACUAGAAUUGGACAAAUAAGCUAACAAUAAUAACAAACCAUUAUUUAGACUGCAUGAGUUGGAGUCAAAUCCUUGCACUAGCAAUUUGUGCAAUUAAAGCAAAUGGGUUGGAUUCUAAAAGUCCAUUUCCAAUUCAAUAGUCAAAAUAUGCUUAAAACAAAUUGUAUAAAACAAAGCCACAGUCCAGAUCUCUCAGGAAUUUUCACAAACACCUUCCAUACGCAAAUAUUUUUGCACUAAAUUACUCUUGUUACAUUUAUGUAUUACUCUUGCUAAAAAGUAUUUUUAGUAAAAUAUAAAAUAAAACAUAAAAUGUUUUACUUCUACCUUUUUCUUCUCCCACAAAGUGAAAGAAGCAAAAAAGAAACAAAAAACAAACAAACAAAAAAAAACCACCAAAAUUUCAAUAAUAAAAAAUGAAGAGAACAUUUUAUUCUCUUCUCAACGUUAAUAGAUAAACAAACAAUUUUCAAAAGAACUUGUAAUUAAAAAUCAAAAUAAAAUGGAAAAAGUUAAAAUAAGAAAGAGUCUCGAGUACAUAAAAGUAAGUACUUGCCUUCAUAUAGCGAAGAAGUCGAAAUGCCAAAAGUUAAUUAAUUUAAGAGUGUAAAGACAAAAAUAAAGCAAAAUUAACAUCAAUGACAAAAAGUAAGUAUUCUAAAAGUACUAAAAUAGAGAGAUUGAAGCAAAAUUUGAAGUUAAAGAAAUUCAAUUAGACCCCACAAAUUGAUAAAUAAAGGUCUACUGUGUCUACUACCAUCAACAAAUACUUACCUUUAGGCUCCUCCUAAGUUAGAGUUAGAGAAGUCUUUCUCAACUAAGGAUGAAGUUAUUAGGCUCCGCUAAACACCAAAGAACAAUCUUCUCAUGAAAAAAUGCAUAGCAGAAAAACCAACAAAACACAUCACCAAAUAGUAUUAUAUAAAAUUAAGACAAGGGGCGGUGCCAUAUAAUAAAAGAAUAUAUCCUAAAUCAAAAUUUCCUUAAAUAAACAUCUCAUAAACCUAAACACAUGAAGGACAUUUUCAGGACCUUCUCCCUUUUUUUCUUACUCUCUUUCAGCUUCAAGUCUUAAUAUUUUUUGGUCUAAUUUAAGUUAAAGAUAAACCCAACAUUUAUUUCACAUACAUCACGUAGGGGUGUUUGCCCAAAAGAGGAAAUUCAAACGAAGUCAAAAAUUUCAGACCUUACGGACGACUCAUGGAGUUAAGGGAAGUAGUGACAAGAGAACAACUUUGCAAAGAGAGAGAAAGAGAAAAGGAACAAUUGACUUACCGACAGAGGAGGUGACGAUCGUAGUUUGAAUGUUGAAGAGAUUGCGGCGGAUUGGAGAUGACAGGCAUGGAUUAAACAGGUUACCAUAGAGGAGGUUUGUCGUUCGAUAGAGGAGGUUGCGAUAGUACUAGAGUGAGAAGACGGGAAUGAGAGGGCUGUGGUGGUGACGGGAACGGGUGUCGUCCAAAGAUGGUCUUCUUCGCGUUUUGAGAUGGCUUAUCUGCGAGAGGAAUGAGGGUUUUUAAUUUGGGGAAAUUUUUAUUUGCGGGAAAAGCCAUAAAACCCUUUACUUUUCAUUUAAAUUGAAUUGAAUUUUAAUAAAUUAAAUAAAUUAUUUGAUGUAUCUUCUACGACAGGAAAUAAUUUUCGCAAAAAAUACUAUCUGAAAAAUUCCGCAUUUUCCCAUAAAUGACAGGUAUUUUUACCCUAUGUGACAGUUUUUUCUCCUCCCUUCCAUUUUCUAAUGUAAACAACUGUCGUAGUAGAUAGUUUUUGUUGUAGUGAUUGUAGGAAAAUUAACAAGCUUUCUAACCAUACCAAAUAGAGCUUUUAGUUCCACCUAUACAUUAUUGGAUACUCGAAAAACCAGAGGCUUUUUGGAAUUACGUGAAAAGUCUAUGAUCUACUUUCUACUUCAAAAAUCAUUCACUUAGCCUCAUAAUUUGCUCAAAAUUUAUUCAUGAAACUUGUUAGAAAUCAUUCACUAACGGUAUGACUUGGUUCCUUAGCACCUGCUCUUUCUUAUGAAGAAUUUGUGUUGGCUCCUCUUUGUAAGACAAGUUCUCUUUCAAAUGAACUGGUUGUGUUUCAAGAAUAUGAGAUGGAUCAGAAACGUACUUACGCUACAUCGCACAUGAAACACAUCACAAAUACUCGAAAGUUCCAUAGGCAAUGCCAAAUUGUACGUCGCAAGCUCAAUAUGUUCUAAUAUCUCACAAGGUCCAAUAAAUCUUGCACUCAGCUUGUCUUUUCUGCCAGAAUGAAGCUCACCCUUCCAAGGAGAUAGCUUUAGAAAGACUUUGUCACCAACCUCAAAUUUCAAGUCUCUCCAUCGCUUAUCUGUAUAACUCUUUUGACAAUCUUGUGUUGUUUUCAACUUUUUUCUACUAAUCACAUUUUCUGACUUUCUUUCCCCAACUUCAUCCCAACACAUGGGGGUUCUACAACGUCUACCAUACAAAGCCUCAUAAGGUGUCAUUCCAAUACUUGAAUGGAAACUAUUAUUAUAUGCAAAUCUCAUUAAUGACAAAUGAGCAUCCCAAUUACCUUUGAACUGAAAAUCAAAAGCUUGAAGCAUAUCUUCCAAGGUCUGAAGGUUAUUUCUUAUUGAAAAUCUGUCAGAGGAUGAAAUAUGGUACUGAAAUGUAAAUUGGUGCCCAUUACUUCUUGCAAACUCAGCCAAAACUUUAGGGUAAACCUUCAAUCUAUAUCAGACACAAUAGAUACGGGAGCUCCAUACGCACUUACAAUCUUAUUAAUGUUCAAUUUGGCCAGCCUAUCGAAGGUGAAAGUGACCUUCACUAGUCAAAAUCUUGCUAUCUUUGUAAGUCUGUCAACUAUCACCCAAAUGCCAUCAAACCCACUCGAUGUGCGAGGAAGUUCAAAUAAAAAGUCCAUGGCAACAUGUUUCCAUUUCCAUUCCAGCAUUAGAAGUGGGUUUAAAAGUUCUGCUGCUAUAUGUCAUUCAGGUUUAACUUAUUGAUAGAUUAAACACUUAGCUACAUAUUCUGCAGUUUCACGCUUCAUACCAGGCCACCAAUAGUGCUUCUUUAAAGUUCUAUACAUCUUUGUAUUGCCAGAAUGAAUUGCAUAUGCAUAACUAUAUGCUUCCUCUAAAAUUUAAUCUUUUAUGCCUUGGUUUCUAGGGACACACAACCUAUCAUAUUUCAUUAAGGCACCAUCACCCCUCAAACUAUAGUUCGUUCCUUGGUUCAAUUUUACCUCUUUUGCUAACUUUCUUAGCAUUAUAUCUUCUAGUCUAAAAAAUGAUGGGGCAAUUUGCGAUUAGUAAAAAACUUCUCAUUCAACAACACAAUUUAAAAUUAUAUAACAACCUAAUUAAGUUAGAUAAAAUAUAUCCCAAUAGUAAUUUGGUUAAUAAAUUUCAUUUUUUCAAUAUCAAUAGAAGAUGAAAGAUUCAAGACAUAAACCUACGAGCGAUAAAACUUACUUCUUUUUUGAGUUAUGCUUGUUUCGAUGGUUUUAAGACAACCAUCAAUAAUUAAUUCAUACAAUUUUUUUUUCUUUUUCCUUUCUUCCUUUCUUUUGUUUUGUUUUUUUUUUUUUUGAUUAAAAGUUCCCAAAAAUCUACUUUUUACUUUUAAAAUUGUUUUUAGUACAAAUUGGAGAGGCGGAGCAAUUGGACCAUGAAAUUUUUAGUUCUCAAAAUGCACUGAUACCCAUUGACAUAAACUGUUAUAACUACCAUCAUUAACUAAGAUUUUGUUUUUUUUUUUACAGAAGGUUAUUGUUGGAAGAUUUAUGGUAAUACGAGCAUAUGAAAUUAUUUUUUUCACAGAUAGCUUCUUUUUGUUAUUCUCAUUUAAUUUCUCUAAGUAGUAAUUAAAUUCUCUUAAGCACGAUAUUGGAUGUUUUUUAGAUGAAAGUUAAGAUUGUUGAGUUUUAGGCAUUAAAAUGGACCAUUAAAACUGCUUGGGUAUAACUUUAUCAAUUUCAAUUUUAUUGAGUUGCGUACCGAGUAUGAUUAAACUAUAAUUCUUGUUUUGGCCAACAAAGCCAUCUUAUAUAAACCCUUCGUUCCUCCAUCCAUUUCCACAAGAUUAAUCUUCUAUUCUCCAUUUUCUAGUGACCAAUAUGGAGAAAACACAAACAAUUUAUCUUCUUUUUCUAUCGCUUUUGUCCAUAGCCACAAUGUCACAUUGUCGUGGUACAUAUACAAGAAUAUUAUUUUCCGUUUGUAUAUAUAUACAUAUACAUAUAUCACGUAUGCAUGUAUUCUAAUUCUUUGUUUGUGUAUUUACAGUGUUGCUUCAUGUUGACCCACAAUCUGAUGUUGGCGGACCUCAAAUGCGUCAUUCCACCCCCUCCGCCACACCAUCAUCUUGAUUCAGACGUUGGUGGACCACAGAUGGUCAUUCCACCACCUCCACCACACCAUCAUCUUGAUUCCGAUGUUGGCGGCCCUCAAAUGGUUAUCCCUCCUCCUCCACCGCACAAGCUUCCACAAUCCGAUGUUGGUGGCCCUCAAUUGGUCAUUCCACCCCCUCCACAACACCAUCAUCUUAAUUCGGACGUUGGUGGCCCUCAAAUGGUCAUCCCACCACCUCCUCCUCACAACACAUCCACUAAUUCUGGAUGUUGGCGGUCCUCAAAUGGUCAUUCCACCCCCUCCUCCACCUCAUCACAUUUACCUUUAAAAUCGAACAUCGUUGAUGAUCCCCCAAUGGUCAUCCCACCGCCUCCCCCUCCAUAUGUUCCAUCCACAAAGUAAUGUUUAGUGAUAUUAUAAGGAUAAUCCCCUACCUCCUCUAUAAAGCAAAUUUUAUUCCAUCAAAUUCGAUCACAACUUUAUAUGUGUGAUUCAUUUCUUGUCACUUCCCUCGAAGUAUUG
This 15710-nucleotide long non-coding RNA is filed under the name Cucumis sativus (cucumber). Its description in RNAcentral is "long non-coding RNA (CSAT_LNC001061)". The record is from RNAcentral. Lineage: Eukaryota; Viridiplantae; Streptophyta; Magnoliopsida; Cucurbitales; Cucurbitaceae.